CGUAGGUGCGAGCGUUGUCCGGAAUUACUGGGCGUAAGAGCUCGUAGGUGGUUUGUCGCGUCGUCUGUGAAAUCCCGGGCUUAACUUCGGGCGUGCAGGCGAUACGGGCAUAACUAGAGUGCUGUAGGGAGACUGGAAUUCCUGGUGUAGCGGUGAAAUGCGCAGAUAUCAGGAGGAACACCGAUGGCGAAGGCAGGUCUCUGGGCAGUUACUGACGCUGAGGAGCGAAGGCAUGGGUAGCGAACAGGAUU
Molecule: ribosomal RNA, 251 nt
Filed under: uncultured bacterium
Lineage: Bacteria
Description: partial 16S ribosomal RNA
Rfam family: Bacterial small subunit ribosomal RNA
Source: RNAcentral